Molecule: non-coding RNA, 246 nt
Filed under: Limosilactobacillus panis
Lineage: Bacteria; Bacillati; Bacillota; Bacilli; Lactobacillales; Lactobacillaceae
Description: Lactobacillus panis T-box sequence
Rfam family: T-box leader
About the family: Uncharged tRNA acts as the effector for transcription antitermination of genes in the T-box leader family.
Source: RNAcentral
GAUUAGACGUUGAAGAGAAGAGUAGUGCCAAGAACUUUUUCCAGAGAGCCCCGGUUGGUGUGAGGGGUAAUUGUUACUGACACGAAGAUGAGCUCCGAGUUAUUCCCCUGGUCAACUGGCUGGGUGAACGGCUGACAGCCGAUAUCCUGUCGGGUCUUCACCUCAUCAGGUGAGUACUUAUUAAGGCCACUAAUGUGAGUUAGUGGCGAAUUCAGGGUGGUACCGCGAAAAGCCUUCGUCCCGGAU